RNAcentral lists this ribosomal RNA (364 nucleotides) under uncultured bacterium. Its description in RNAcentral is "bacterial SSU rRNA". It matches the Rfam family "Bacterial small subunit ribosomal RNA", at positions 328 to 689 of the family's 1533-position model. The record is from RNAcentral.
UGCCCAGACUCCUACGGGAGGCAGCAGUGAGGAAUAUUGGUCAAUGGGCGGAAGCCUGAACCAGCCAAGUCGCGUGAGGGAAUAAGGCCCUACGGGUCGUAAACCUCUUUUGCCGGGGAGCAAGGGCGGGGACGUGUCCCGGCCCGGAGAGUACCCGGAGAAAAAGCAUCGGCUAACUCCGUGCCAGCAGCCGCGGUAAUACGGAGGAUGCGAGCGUUAUCCGGAUUUAUUGGGUUUAAAGGGUGCGUAGGCGGAAUGCCAAGCAGGGGGUAAAGUCGGGGGGCUCACCCUCGCUCCGCCGUUGAAACUGGCGUUCUUGAGUGGGCGAGAGGUAUGCGGAAUGCGUGGUGUAGCGGUGAAAUGC